RNAcentral lists this small RNA (29 nucleotides) under Bombyx mori (domestic silkworm). RNAcentral's name for it is "ovarian small RNA-29387". The record is from RNAcentral. Lineage: Eukaryota; Metazoa; Arthropoda; Insecta; Lepidoptera; Bombycidae.
UCUAAAAAUGCUCUUAUACACGUUGUGCC